CUUGAUUUCCUCGUGUGCGGGUAAGACGUCAUCCACUUUCGCAGUUGGUACUUGAGCUACAACUGGCUCGGCUGGUUGCACCUCUUUGGCAGCCUCUUCAGAAGCCUCAGGCACGGCCUCUGUCUCGGGAACGGCCUCAAGCACAGGCUGUGGCUGCUGGACUUCUUCGUUCCCUGACGGUGGGAGUUGUUCUACUGGGACAGCAAGCUCGACCUCGCGUUCGGAAACUUCAUGCUGCACCUCGACUUUGCUUUGCUCCUCUUCCACGUUGUCGUGAAUAUCCUCACUGGCAGGAGGUGCUCGCUGUGUGUCGUCCACUGUGGCAUCUGUCGCAUGCAUGGAAUCUGGAGCACCACUCUCGAUCUCUGGCACCGCCAACUUUUCUCCCUCCUGCAGGAUCGCGACUGAAGCACUCUCCCUGGGCUCGACAUUCUCCACCUGGUCAUCCACAGCCACCUUGGCCGGCUCUAUGCUCUCUUCCUCCUUGAUUUCCUCGUGUGCGGGUAAGACGUCAUCCACUUUCGCAGUUGGUACUUGAGCUACAACUGGCUCGGCUGGUUGCACCUCUUUGGCAUCCUCUUCAGAAGCCUCAGGCACGGCCUCUGUCUCGGGAACGGCCUCAAGCACAGGCUGUGGCUCCUGGACUUCUUCGUUCCCUGACGGUGGGAGUUCUUCUACUGGGACAGCAAGCUCGACCUCGCGUUCGGAAACUUCAUGCUGCACCUCGACUUUGCUUUGCUCCUCUUCCACGUUCUCGUGAAUGUCCUCACUGGCAGGAGGUGCUCGCUGUGUGUCGUCCACUGUGGCAUCUGUCGCAUGCAUGGAAUCCGGUGCACCACUCUCGAUCUCUGGCACUGCCAACUUUUCUCCCUCCUGCAGGAUCGCGACUGAAGCACUCUCCCUGGGCUCGACAUUCUCCACCUGGUCAUCCACAGCCACCUUGGCCGGCUCUAUGCUCUCUUCCUCCUUGAUUUCCUCGUGUGCGGGUAAGACGUCAUCCACUUUCGCGGUUGGUACUUGAGCUACAACUGGCUCGGCCGGUUGCACCUCUUUGGCAGCCUCUUCAGAAGCCUCAGGCACGGCCUCUGUCUCGGGAACGGCCUCAAGCACAGGCUGUGGCUGCUGGACUUCUUCGUUCCCUGACUGUGGGAGUUCUUCUACUGGGACGGCAAGCUCGACCUUGCGUUCGGAAACUUCAUGCUGCACCUCGACUUUGGUUUGCUCCUCUUCCACGUUGUCGUGAAUGUCCUCACUGGCAGGAGAUGCUCGCUGUGUGUCGUCCACUGUGGCAUCUGUCACAUGGAUGGAAUCUGGAGCAGCACUCUCGAUCUCUGGCACCGCCAACUUUUCUCCCUCCUGCAGGAUCGCGACUGAAGCACUCUCCCUGGGCUUGAAAUUCUCCACCUGGUCAUCCACAGCCACCUUGGCCUGCUCUAUGCUCUCUUCCUCCUUGAUUUCCUCGUGUGCGGGUAAGACGUCAUCCACUUUCGCGGUUGGUACUUGAGCUACAACUGGCUCGGCUGGUUGCACCUCUUUGGCAUCCUCUUCAGAAGCCUCAGGCACGGCCUCUGUCUCGGGAACGGCCUCAAGCACAGGCUGUGGCUCCUGGACUUCUUCGUUCCCCGACUGUGGGAGUUCUUCUACUGGGACAGCAAGCUCGACCUCGCGUUCGGAAACUUCAUGCUGCACCUCGACUUUGCUUUGCUCCUCUUCCACGUUGUCGUGAAUGUCCUCACUGGCAGGAGGUGCUCGCUGUGUGUCGUCCACUGUGGCAUCUGUCGCAUGCAUGGAAUCCAGUGCACCACUCUCGAUCUCUGGCACCGCCAACUUUUCUCCCUCCUGCAGGAUCGCGACUGAAGCACUCUCCCUGGGCUCGACAUUCUCCACCUGGU
This 1892-nucleotide long non-coding RNA is filed under the name Selaginella moellendorffii. RNAcentral describes it as "long non-coding RNA (SMOE_LNC002438)". The record is from RNAcentral. Lineage: Eukaryota; Viridiplantae; Streptophyta; Lycopodiopsida; Selaginellales; Selaginellaceae.